RNAcentral lists this transfer RNA (73 nucleotides) under Streptococcus agalactiae 18RS21. RNAcentral describes it as "tRNA-Glu". It matches the Rfam family "tRNA". Rfam says of the family: Transfer RNA (tRNA) molecules are approximately 80 nucleotides in length. Their secondary structure includes four short double-helical elements and three loops (D, anti-codon, and T loops). Further hydrogen bonds mediate the characteristic L-shaped molecular structure. tRNAs have two regions of fundamental functional importance: the anti-codon, which is responsible for specific mRNA codon recognition, and the 3' end, to which the tRNAs corresponding amino acid is attached (by aminoacyl-tRNA synthetases). tRNAs cope with the degeneracy of the genetic code in two manners: having more than one tRNA (with a specific anti-codon) for a particular amino acid; and 'wobble' base-pairing, i.e. permitting non-standard base-pairing at the 3rd anti-codon position. Lineage: Bacteria; Bacillati; Bacillota; Bacilli; Lactobacillales; Streptococcaceae. The record is from RNAcentral.
GGUCCGUUGGGUCAAGGGGUUAAGACACCGCCUUUUCACGGCGGGUACACGGGUUCGAAUCCCGUACGGGACU